AUGGCAUAAUGAUGGCAGCGCUGUCUCCAGCAGAGACUCAGUGAAAUCGAAAUCGCAGUGAAGAUGCUGUGUACCCGCGGCUAGACGGAAAGACCCCGUGAACCUUUACUACAGCUUUACAUUGAACUUUGACCUAACUUGUGUAGGAUAGGUGGGAGGCUUUGAAGCAGAUACGCCAGUAUUUGUGGAGCCAACCUUGAAAUACCACCCUGGUUAUGUUGGGGUUCUAACUUAGGAUCAACAAAUCCAAGGACAAUGUAUGGUGGGUAGUUUGACUGGGGCGGUCUCCUCCUAAAGAGUAACGGAGGAGUACGAAGGUGCGCUCAGAACGGUCGGAAAUCGUUCAAAGAGUAUAAAGGCAAAAGCGCGCUUAACUGCGAGACCCACAAGUCGAGCAGGUACGAAAGUAGGUCUUAGUGAUCCGGUGGUUCUGUAUGGAAGGGCCAUCGCUCAACGGAUAAAAGGUACUCUGGGGAUAACAGGCUGAUACCGC
RNAcentral lists this ribosomal RNA (493 nucleotides) under Moraxella catarrhalis. Its description in RNAcentral is "bacterial LSU rRNA". It matches the Rfam family "Bacterial large subunit ribosomal RNA", at positions 1996 to 2491 of the family's 2925-position model. The record is from RNAcentral. Lineage: Bacteria; Pseudomonadati; Pseudomonadota; Gammaproteobacteria; Moraxellales; Moraxellaceae.